Ruditapes philippinarum (Manila clam) is the source of this 780-nucleotide long non-coding RNA. RefSeq lists it as uncharacterized. Lineage: Eukaryota; Metazoa; Mollusca; Bivalvia; Venerida; Veneridae. The transcript is spliced from 3 exons. The record is from RefSeq and is a predicted model, not a curated record.
UAGCAAUAUGAGCUAUGCAAUAAACAAAACAGUUCCAUAAUUCUUUUAUUUUACACGCUUUAUUAAAAACCAGCAGUCAAAUACUCCAUCAAUAUUUUUUCCUGUGAUGUGUGAGGAAGACUAUAAACAAUACUGCUUGUUAACCCUUUGACUUCAUAUGAAAAAAAAAUGUGUGCCUAUGUUUCCAUUAUAAAGAUGAUUUAUGAAAUCAGAAAUAAUUGACUGUUCCAGUUUGAAAUCAUCUGCGAAUGUUUCAAAAUUCAAAAUUGUACCAGUUCAUGUUAAAUGUUGAAUUCUGCUUAAGCCGGUGCUAGGGGGCGUGGACGGUAGUUUGCACUUGACAGUACCGUCCAUGAACUUGUGAGGCUCAAUCAAACUUAUUCUGUAACAUUUUCAAUUUUGCUGUGUUGGGCUUUUUUUAGGAGUUCUUAUAUUCUCUAUUUUAUAAUGGCAGUAUUCAUAUUAUAAGUUUUAUUUUUAGAAGUUUAGGUUAUAUGGAGUUAACAUGUAUUUUUUCAUGAUUUUAGGGAGAUGAGCAAUGGUAUUAUAGUUGGUAUUGAUCUAAGUGGAGAUCCACAUGUUGGUAAUACAGAUAUUUUCAUUCCAGCAUUUAAGGAGGCACAGAAACAUGGUUUAAAGUUAGCACUUCAUCUUGCUUAAGCACCAGAAGAAACUAUUACCUUGUUAAAAGAAAUUAUAUCAGAUAGAAUAGGACAUGGAACAUGUUUACAGCCUGAUGCUGGUGGGACGAAAGAUAUUGUAGAGUUUGUUGAAAGUCAU